GAGUGGCGAACGGGUGAGUAACACGUGGGUAACCUGCCCAUCAGAAGGGGAUAACACUUGGAAACAGGUGCUAAUACCGUAUAACAAUCGAAACCGCAUGGUUUUGAUUUGAAAGGCGCUUUCGGGUGUCGCUGAUGGAUGGACCCGCGGUGCAUUAGCUAGUUGGUGAGGUAACGGCUCACCAAGGCCACGAUGCAUAGCCGACCUGAGAGGGUGAUCGGCCACAUUGGGACUGAGACACGGCCCAAACUCCUACGGGAGGCAGCAGUAGGGAAUCUUCGGCAAUGGACGAAAGUCUGACCGAGCAACGCCGCGUGAGUGAAGAAGGUUUUCGGAUCGUAAAACUCUGUUGUUAGAGAAGAACAAGGAUGAGAGUAACUGUUCAUCCCUUGACGGUAUCUAACCAGAAAGCCACGGCUAACUACGUGCCAGCAGCCGCGGUAAUACGUAGGUGGCAAGCGUUGUCCGGAUUUAUUGGGCGUAAAGCGAGCGCAGGCGGUUUCUUAAGUCUGAUGUGAAAGCCCCCGGCUCAACCGGGGAGGGUCAUUGGAAACUGGGAGACUUGAGUGCAGAAGAGGAGAGUGGAAUUCCAUGUGUAGCGGUGAAAUGCGUAGAUAUAUGGAGGAACACCAGUGGCGAAGGCGGCUCUCUGGUCUGUAACUGACGCUGAGGCUCGAAAGCGUGGGGAGCAAACAGGAUUAGAUACCCUGGUAGUCCACGCCGUAAACGAUGAGUGCUAAGUGUUGGAGGGUUUCCGCCCUUCAGUGCUGCAGCUAACGCAUUAAGCACUCCGCCUGGGGAGUACGACCGCAAGGUUGAAACUCAAAGGAAUUGACGGGGGCCCGCACAAGCGGUGGAGCAUGUGGUUUAAUUCGAAGCAACGCGAAGAACCUUACCAGGUCUUGACAUCCUUUGACCACUCUAGAGAUAGAGCUUCCCCAGACGUGUGCUCUUCCGAUGUAGCAACGCGAAGAACCUUACCAGGUCUUGACAUCCUUUGACCACUCUAGAGAUAGAGCUUCCCCUUCGGGGGCAAAGUGACAGGUGGUGCAUGGUUGUCGUCAGCUCGUGUCGUGAGAUGUUGGGUUAAGUCCCGCAACGAGCGCAACCCUUAUUGUUAGUUGCCAUCAUUCAGUUGGGCACUCUAGCAAGACUGCCGGUGACAAACCGGAGGAAGGUGGGGAUGACGUCAAAUCAUCAUGCCCCUUAUGACCUGGGCUACACACGUGCUACAAUGGGAAGUACAACGAGUUGCGAAGUCGCGAGGCUAAGCUAAUCUCUUAAAGCUUCUCUCAGUUCGGAUUGCAGGCUGCAACUCGCCUGCAUGAAGCCGGAAUCGCUAGUAAUCGCGGAUCAGCACGCCGCGGUGAAUACGUUCCCGGGCCUUGUACACACCGCCCGUCACACCACGAGAGUUUGUAACACCCGAAGUCGGUGAGGUAACCUUUUUGGAGCCAGCCGCCUAAGGUGGGAUAGAUGAUUGGGGUGAAGUCGUAACAAGGUAGCCGUAUCGGAAGGUGCGGCUGGAUCACCU
This 1534-nucleotide ribosomal RNA is filed under the name Enterococcus faecium. RNAcentral's name for it is "bacterial SSU rRNA". It matches the Rfam family "Bacterial small subunit ribosomal RNA". Lineage: Bacteria; Bacillati; Bacillota; Bacilli; Lactobacillales; Enterococcaceae. The record is from RNAcentral.